AGUGAACGCUGGCGGUAGGCCUAACACAUGCAAGUCGAACGGCAGCACAGUAAGAGCUUGCUCUUACUGGUGGCGAGUGGCGGACGGGUGAGGAAUACAUCGGAAUCUACUUUUUCGUGGGGGAUAACGUAGGGAAACUUACGCUAAUACCGCAUACGACCUACGGGUUAAAGCAGGGGAUCUUCGGACCUUGCGCGAUUGAAUGAGCCGAUGUCGGAUUAGCUAGUUGGCGGGGUAAAGGCCCACCAAGGCGACGAUCCGUAGCUGGUCUGAGAGGAUGAUCAGCAGCACUGGAACUGAGACACGGUCCAGACUCCUACGGGAGGCAGCAGUGGGGAAUAUUGGACAAUGGGCGCAAGCCUGAUCCAGGCAUACCGCGUGGGUGAAGAAGGCCUUCGGGUUGUGAAGCCCUUUUGUUGGGAAAGAAAAGCAGCAGGUUAAUACCCAGCUGUUCUGACGGUACCCAAAGAAUAAGCACCGGCUAACUUCGUG
This 492-nucleotide ribosomal RNA is filed under the name uncultured bacterium. RNAcentral describes it as "partial 16S ribosomal RNA". It matches the Rfam family "Bacterial small subunit ribosomal RNA", at positions 29 to 507 of the family's 1533-position model. The record is from RNAcentral.